Long non-coding RNA from Felis catus (domestic cat), 7631 nucleotides. RefSeq lists it as uncharacterized. Lineage: Eukaryota; Metazoa; Chordata; Mammalia; Carnivora; Felidae. The transcript has 6 exons. The record is from RefSeq and is a predicted model, not a curated record.
ACCAUGGUGUUUGCUAAAUGAUAAUUUUCUGUGUCCAUCAUUCCUGCUAUAUUUAUGAAUUGAAAGAGCUCUCCUUUCUCUCUCAUUUAUUUAUUCAAUCAUGUAUUUAUCUCUCAGUGUGGCCUCAGUGUGGAUAUUUAUUUUAUACCUUGCUAUUUUUCAGGUUCAUCUUGUACAUUUGCUGUGCCUGCACAUUUCUCCAAGGAGAAUGGUAUUUAGAAGUCAACAUCUGGGCACUAGGUAAACUGACUGCCAACCAGUUGUUCAAAGUAGUUGUAACACUUUACACUCCUCCAGCGGAAUAUGAGAGUUACAGUUGCCACGGAGAUAUUCUCAAGGAGGUUAAGGUCAGUGAGUUCUCUGCAGUAAGUAUAAAAUGUUCUGUUUAGAUCUAUUUAUUUUUUGUAAGUUUGUUUUCAGUUUCUUUAUUUAUUUUGAGAGAGAGAAUCCCAAGCUCAGAGCUCAAGCCCAUGAAUGGUGAGCUCACGACCUGACCUGAAACCAAGAGUUGGAUGCUUAACCGACUGAGCCACCCAGGCGCCCCUGUUCUGUUACAUCUAAUGACCACACGAUUGGAUACUAUUCCACCAUAAAAAGGAAUGAAGUGCAGAUGCGUGCUGUGCCAUAGAUGAACCUUGAAAACAUGCCGAGGGAAAGAAGCCAAUCCCCAAAUACUUCAUAUUGCUGAUUCCAUUUACACGGUGUGUCCAGGAUCCCAUCUGGGACAUAUACUGAUGAAAUUUGAAGUGGGGUUCACGAACAAACGACUAAGAAAGAAUUUUUGACAUGUCUUCAGUGCGAACAGGAAGGCUGGGAAAAUCAUGCUCAUUUCUCGGCCAUGAUGGCUUUUGGUGAAUGAUACCCCUGGCCGGUGGACCAGACAGAGAAAGGAAGUUUCAAAGCACUGGGCAAGGAAAAUACCUCUUGACUCCUCCACUGGUGAGGCAUGGGCUGCAGCACUGAGGGAAGAGAAGUUCUACAAAAGGUAAGCAAGAGCCUGGGUUGUUUCCCGGGGCCAGACCCAACAAGACCCUGAACUUCUUGUUAAGCCGGAAGUUAGGGCCCUGGCUUCAGACCUGGCUGCUUUGAGAUGACUCCUGACCUUGGAGGGACAAGAUGCCACUUUGGCCUGGAUCCUUUUAAGUCCUGGUGGUACUACCCUGGGGGCGCAGCCAGUCCACAGACGUGGGCUGCGGAGAGAGAAAGGCCCUGUCAAGCCAAGGGCUCUGUGGUCAGUGGUGCCAUCAUGUCUGCUGAGCAAAGCUUACUGUUUUGAUUGUACUGCCUUCUGUGACUUUUCCUGUCUCUUUCUUCCUACCUGCUUGACCUCAUUCUCCCUGCUCAUCCCUUACACCAGUCAGGAACCCUACUGGGAGGCAUGACAACUGUAAACUGGGCCUGCGUGCGCCCCCCAGAAGCGGCUUUCUUUUGUGUUUUCUUGCCUUCCUUACCCUUCCUCGCCUUCCCUCCCUCUCUAUUUUAUAUCAAAUAUUUGCUUGGCUUACAACUCAUAAAAUAUCAUUUCAUUAAAUCAUGUUUUCGUUUAAGUAAGAUGGCUGUCAGGCUGAAGCUAUUUGAUUGUAUUAGGAGUCAGGAAAAUAUAAAGAAAAAUCCAUUUGGAGAAUGGAAUAACACAACACAUUUUAGUUCAGUUUCCUUGGUUUUUCUUUUAAUGGCAUUAUAGAUCUCCAAGUAUAAUAUUGUUCCUGACAAUUCAGAACCAAUUGCUUCGAAGGGGUUCUUGGGCCCCUUUGCCUGUGAGCUGACACCCCCUCCCUCUGGUAACGCCCUUGGGCUGUCUGAUCUUGCUCUUUUCCAUUUACUCCACCCAGCUGCCAAGUGUUCACAAUCCAACAGUUGAAAAACUGAUUCAAUGCCCAUUAUGGACUGCCUUCCAUGGGUUCUGGGAAUCCUGAGAUCAUUGAGAUGUGGUUCCUGCCUUCUGAGGACUCCUGACCUGUCUGCAGGGAUGACAGGCCUGAGCAGCCCAUUAUACUACAAUGUCUCCUACUCUCUGGUGGGGGUGUGAGGCAAUCCUGCGGGAGCACAGAGGAGUUUCUCCUUCUACCCUGGCAGGAGCUAGUCCGCCAAGUACAGCUGUGCAACACACAUAUUGCACAAAGAUGCUAAAUUUAAGUAGAAAGCGUUCACACUGCAAGCAUUUGAAUGUAGAUAUUGAUCAGGACAGUUUUCUAGCAGAUAAAAGAACAAAUCUUGAGGAAGGGGCACGUUUUUCCAAUUUCCACGAAGACACUGUCUGGGUUAGCAGGUGGCCCUGGGUGGGCAUGUGGUUGGAAGGACUGUGGACAGGAGAUGCGUUUCAUUUGGGCUGUGCUAGAGCCCAGAAGAGUUGAGCAGCCAGGCAGAGGGCAUUCUAAGCACAGGGAGCAUAAAGUGUGCCAGAGGUGGGAGAUCACAAUGCUGUACCUGGGGAAUGAAGGAGGGCUGGGUGCGGCGCCUGCAGAGUGCACAUGGUGGAGUGUGGCGGCUAUGGCCUGGAAACAUCGUUGGGAGGUACAUCAUGAAGGGUCUGGGAUAAAGUCCAAACUCUAGUAAAACAUUCCAGACCCUUCAUGAUCUACCAGCAGUUAGGUUCCAAAAGAAAGUGAUGUAAGGUAGAAGAUAAAUACAUGAGCCUCGUUCCACACAGUGGAAGUAAAAAUCUGCUGAAGGCAAGGGUUGGCAAAGGUCUACAGAGACCAGACAGAGCAUGAGUGCAGGUAGUGAGUGAAGGGGGUUUUAGACAAGAGAGGGUGACCUGGAGAGCACAGGCCCCACAGAAAUGUCGGCCUCACUCAGCUUCGGCUGACUGUUGUCAGGAAGGCCUGGAGGCCAGGUGUGACCAGGUCUCCCAAGUUUUCAUGAGAAGCUGGAAACUUGCAUAUUGAUGUACAAAUCCCCUAAGUUCUAAGUGUUGGCAAGUAACUCAGAGUUUUUAAAACACCACCUGCCAUACAAGGCAGGUCUGCGGACCAGGGUCGGCCAGCAAUCUCUGACAAUGAGGGAAGGAGGAGAAAAUUCUCAGAACCUCAGAUGAGAUGGUAAUGAGAAUUGAGUUCAUCUUUGGGCUUCAUCGCAGGGAAGACAAACAUGGACACUGAUUCUGUUCCCGGUGACGGGAAAAGAAAUGGAGGCCAAGUGUAGCAGGUGAUAUAUGGUCUCUGUGGAUAUGGAAAAAUGAGCUGACAUUAAAUAAAAUGGCUGAUGAGCAGGACUCAUGCUGGUCCUUUCGUGGCAAAGUUCUUCCCAUAAGAAUAUUUCCCUAAUGACCCUUGGGUUGGUUGUGGCAGGACUGUCUACUAGCUGGAGCCUGAAUCAGGGUCAAGUGUGUGCUGAUGCUCCAGUGCACAGCUUUUCUGAGCCUUAGCCCUUACACGUGGCUGUGACGGGCUGACUGCUACAUCUAAGAGUGUCUGUAGUUCCUGGAUUCUGACUAUGUCUCUGAUAUGUCUACUCUGAUAUGUCUAAUGCCUGUCUCACCUUCAGCCCCAGCUCGACGGGUCGUUCUUGGUCAAACACAGUCAGUACAACUCGAGUAUCCUCGGCUGUAGCCAAUGGGACCAGGAUGGGCGCUCGUAAGGGUAGCUAACCCACAAAAUGAUCUACAGGCUUCAGUAGGAUUGCCUGUCUCACGUGCCUUUCCUGAGCCUCUCUCCUUGCUCCCCUCAAUGCUGCUAUGUUCCGAUCUGGCCCUCUGGGCCAUUGUUGUUUGGUUCACGGGUGGAGACAUUAUCCCAAGCUGGAACAAACUCUCUUCUCUAGGAUUUUUGAAAUUGACCUCAAAAGAGUCAGACCUGAAGCUACACCACAUUGUAAAGUUUUAAACACACACACACACACACACACACACACACACACACACAGAAUUCUUGAGUGAAAGUGCACAUGCUCAUGGGUAAACUAGCUGAUGGUAUUUGAACCCCUACUUCCUGCUGUUUCUGAGGCUCUUGCCUUUUACAGGCCUUGGAUUUUUUAUCUAAAACGUGGGUUUUUGGGCUGAGGCCUAGGCUAGAUUGAGUUUGGGUUCUGUCACUUGUAACCACAAGAUUCCUAAGUAAUGGAGACGGGUGAGGAUCUGUUCUGUGGCUUGUGGAAAAUGCCAGAAGAGUGAAGCAGGGAACUGAAUAGCUGCAACUGAAAGGAUACCUGCUAGGAAUGGUCAGUGCACCAGCGUCCAGCGCUCCCCAGGGAAACCUUUUCUCACUCCUUCAGCGAAGGCAUUAGGUGGACAGGCACUAUGUGUUGUAGGAACUCAGACUCCAGGAAAUGCUAGGUUUCUGCACGUCAAAAUGAUAAGCUGUAUUUCCUAUGGUGCCUCUCGCUAGUUUCCUCAGAAAGGGCGACGCAUCAUGAUGUGUGAGGCCCAGCUCUGCCCCUUCCUGGUCAUCUGACCCCUGGGAAGCCACGCUCUCUCCGAGCUUUGGUUUCCUCAUCUGUCCAGCGAACACCUCCCUCACGGGGGCAUUCUGCAGCUGAAAUGAGGGGGCACGCAGGACAGCAGCUAGCAGUGUGCCCUCAGCUCUCUAGAAACUCAGCGAGUAUUGAUUUCCUUCCAUCCGUUAUUUCCCUGAUUGAAUGCCAUCAAGGAGCCUGUAUUGACUCUUCUCAAAGAGCCCACGAUGGGGCUGUUUAUCUACAGAGGCAUACUUCCAGAUUCAAUCCACUCAGCCAUUUCCUCUGUUUCCACCAUUUUCCCUGUGCUUCAUCACAAAGAAUUUCUGAUCGUGCGUGCGUUCCUUUUCGACCUGGAAAAAAGCAUGAUGUGGGAGUUAUUUUUAUGUUGCAGUCUUGCCUCUCCUCGCCGGAGUGAUCUUAGAAACAUGACCUUAGUGGUAAUGACGUGGAUUAAAAGCAUGUGUCCUGUAAGGGGAGGGGCGGGGGACAUAGGCAUUCUCUGCUCUGGAAGCUGGGCUCCCUCCUCAAAGCGUCUGCACGAAUGUUUCUCCAUCCCAGAGAUAAAGGCUACAAAAAGAAAAAACAAAAAGCCAUCAGGCAUUUUGGUUUUACCACGUUGCUGUAGUUUGAUAGUAGUUUUAUUACCUCAAUGUGUUGAGAUAGGAGAAUUCCGAGAGGGCUGUGAAACACAUUCUAGAGCUUCAGGGGCGGGAGCACGUUCUGAGCUGGCUGCUUGGUGUGUGUCUCGGGAGAGGGAGAUUCGUGUGCCAGGCUGCAGAGUGUGAUAGAGGCACUUUGCCUCUGACAGUCCCGCUCUCUGAAGGGGACGCUACAGGAGGAGACAGUGGAAAACAUUGCAGGGGACCGACAGGGCUCUGCCUUGCUUAUAAGAAGGUGCUUCCAACUCCUUUUCUUGCUCUUAAAGCAACCUGUAAGCCAAGAAGGCCGCAUAAAAUGAGGGAAAAGGAAAUGAAGUCCGUUAAUCUCCCAAGCCGGACAUUUAUUAUCCGAAAGCCAAGUGACAGCUUCGAACUGUGGCCUCAGUUCUGCAGAGAAAAAGGCUCAUGCUUCGGGAAUGGCAGGAGCCCUGGAGCUUCUCUCUGACCGGGGACACGCACUGGCCUCUUGAAAGAAGACUGGCCCUGGCCAAGUGUCAUCUCCAUGAGUACCAGCCCAAAGUUCCAGUUGCUGAAGUAGCUAUCGAUCAAAGAAUCAUGAUAAAUGAGGGCAUUGCUGUGUGUAAGAUCAAUGCUGUGGACCUCAGAAUCCAGUCUCUCGUGAGACUUCCCAGGAGCACCAAGCACUGCCUCUGUGAGAGGCAAUGCCAAGUACGGGGGAGACACUGGAUAUGGAGUCCAAGCCUAUUAGCCACCUGUAAAUCAGAGACAGUGAAAACUGCCUCCGUUCCUCAGCAUAGCAUGGCGGUUACAUGUCUGGAUUCUGGAGCUAGGUUAGCAGGGUUCAGCUGGAGCUAGGUUAGCAGGGUUCAGAUCCCACCUCUGCUGCUCACCAGCUAUGUGACCUUGGGCAGGUUACUUAACCUCUCUGUGCCUUAGUGUUUUGUAUAACAAUGGUAUCUACCUCAAAGGAUUGCGAUGCACGUCAAAUGAGUUAAUGCCGGUAAAGGGUCUAGGACAGAGUCCUGGUAGGCACAUUGUAAAUGCCGUGUUUUUUGUCAAUUAAAUUAUUUGUCAAUUACAUUCCUCCCUUAGCAUCUUGUUUUGUUUUGUUUUUCACACCAAGUCUGUUCACACCAUAUUGCAGCCGGAGACACAGGUUUAGAGGGAUAAAAGGAGUUGUCCGAGAUCAUCUGCCUAAUCAAGGUCAGCCUGAGUUCUGAAGCCCCGCCCUUUGACCCCCCCCCCCCCCCUCUGCUGUGCCCUUCCAGCUGCAGCCUUCCACCCUGCGGUCCUCUGUUACCCGGUGCCUGUGGGAAAAGUGCUCCUGAGCCAGGUCACUUGAUUCAAAUGUAUGGGUCUAUUCGGGCUAUGUACUUACCGCCUGUGUGCCCUUUCAGAGGUUUGGGUUAUUGGAGAAGACGACUCUAUUUGGGAUGGAAGUUCCAAGAAAAUGUUUCAUUUUUUCUCCCCGCCAAAAGCGGCAGCAAUAGACUCUAAGGCAGUACGGGGUGGAUUUGGCACUGAGGGCUGUUUUACAUUGUCAUUACCGCACAGGGGAUGUGGAGGCCCAGGGGUAAGAAGUGUGAAAAGCAGGUUGCUGAGUGAGGCCUGUAUGCAAAGCCUUGUUGGCCAGGUGGCAAUGACUGCAUCGGUGGGAAGGCAGAGACAUGAGGACUGACAGCGUGGCAAGCAGCAAGAUGCCGAAGGGGGAGAAGACGCGGGCAGGCGUCCAGUUUAGAGGAAGAGAAGAGCUCUCUUGGGAUACGCUUUGAGACCCUGAUGAGGACUCGCGGUGGGUCUCUGCAUUUGAAGGGCCGAAUGGGAGAUCCAAGCCUGCCUGGGGCAACUGCCCCACGUACCCAGGGAGGCACCGAAGCCCCCAGGGGUGUGGCUUGUACAAGGACCCACAGCCACGCUUCCGUGUUCCUCAGGCGACUUCCUCACGGCCAGUUGGCUUCCCAGGGACCCAGUGAUGAGAGGGGCUAGGCGCCUCAGCAGUUUUCUUUCUCGUUGUAAUCCAGUAAAGGGUCUCUUCGUUCCCCUCCCUAGGACCUUGGCAGCUCUCAGGGCGUGGGUGAGCUCUCCCAUAUCUAGUCAGCCCUGAGAUAACGACCACAUCAGCAUACAAGCUUCGGAAUGCAGACUGCCAGCUGGCAGGCCGGUCCCGGGGAUGUGUCUCAGUGUUCCUCUGAGCUACAUCUUUUCUUUUCAGAUAUCGCCCCUCUGCCUUUCCUACUGUGUUUGAGGCCAGGUAAUAACCCCAAGAGUGACGGAUACUAACAAUGGUUCUGUGUGAUUUCGGAAAGUUCCGUCUCCUCCCUAGUCUGGGCAGAGGCCAGUUAGAAGGAGCUCUAGUCCCAGAGCCCAGGUGGCUGGGCGACGAUUGGGAAAGCAGCCUGGAAGUUGUUAGAAGGCAGCCUGUGGUUGAGGUUGGGCCUCCCUCCCCUCUGGCCUGCUGUGCAGUGUGGGUGCUUCGCGGGGACACGCGACUGGGCUUGCAAAAAGCCAGCAACUGGGCACAAAGUAGGUUUCAGGAAGGCCAAAAUAUUAGAUCCAAUGGCUAUCUCUGCCUCCUUGGUCACUCUUCCCCAGAAUCCCUGUCACCCCUCUGCACAG